RNAcentral lists this unclassified non-coding RNA (1578 nucleotides) under Hevea brasiliensis (rubber tree). The record is from RNAcentral. Lineage: Eukaryota; Viridiplantae; Streptophyta; Magnoliopsida; Malpighiales; Euphorbiaceae.
UUCAAAUUCUGUGCCUUAGCUUAGCAAGGUUAAAGUUUUUGAAGUGCUUUUGUCAACCAAAUCAGCACCACUAACAUAUUUAGCAACAAAUGAUAUUAACCGGAAAGGAGCCCCAAUCAUUGGAGCAUCUGUAAGCGGCACAGCUUCCUCCAUCUUAUCAUUCUCAACAGCCUCCUUCAGUUCCAAAUCCCGAAGCUCAUUAUCAUUCAAAGGUAUUUGCACGAUUUCUCCCGAGUCAACUUCUGCAGCAUAUGCAUCUCCAGCAGCAGGUUCAACUUCCAGUAACUCCAUCUUAUGGCCCAAAGCAGACAUCUUUUCACUAGAUUCAAGUAUGGAAUCAGCUGCCCUAGAUUCAACCAUGAGAUCGCUGCCAAUGGUAGAAGAAUGUCCAGAUGCUCUACUUUGUUGGUCAAGCUUAAUGUACAACUCAUUCACUUUCUCAACAAGCUCUGCAUUUUCUGUAAUCAAUUUGUCAACCAGUGCACAGGCUGCUCCAAUUUGGGAGUUCAAGUCCUCACGUUCAUCAUGCUUUUUCAGUUCAUGUGAUGUGUUAGCAGAGGUGACGUUCGCCUUCACAUUCUGAAGCUGUAACCGCUGACCAGAUAUGUUGUCCAUCAGUUGUUGGUUUUCUUUCAAAAGUAUAUUUCUGGAUUCUUCCAACUCCACCACCUGCAUCUGUAGUCUUGUGAUAUCAACAUUCAUUCUAGCAAUUGUUUCUUUGGUUGUAUUCUCUGUUAGGGUCCACGAAUAUUUAUCACUCUCUAGUUGUUUAAUUUUUUCCUCCAAGCUUGCCCCUUUUAAAACCAAAGCAGUCUUCUCCUCCAAUAAGUGCUGAAGUUGCUCCUUCAAGUGGGCCUCUUCUUGAAGAAUAGACUCUUUUUCACUCUGCAGUUGUACAAUUAUCUUCUCUAGACCAGCCUCUUUUUGAAGAGUCGAGUCUUUUUCAAUCUGCAGUUGUAUGAUUUCAUUCUCUAGACCGGCCUCUUUCUUCAUGUGUGAAUCAUUUUCAUUUUUCAACUGUUGGAUUGUUCCUUCCAAGGUAGUCUCCUUCUGUAAAGCUAAAUCAUGUACAUUUCUCAAUUGCUUGAUCGUCUCUUCUAAUGUAACCAGUUUCUGUAUUUGUGAAUCAUUUUCCUUCUUUAACUGUUUGAUUCUCCCUUCUAAGAAAGCCUCUUUCUGCGUAUAUGUAUCAUUUUCAUUCUGUAAUUGUUUUAUUGACUCUUUCAAUAUGGCCUCUCUUUGCACCCACUGUUGCUUCUCAGCUUCAGCUAAGAUGGGCAUUUCUGUUCCAUUGUGCUCAUGUCUAUUGGCCGCCGUAUCACCAUUUCGCACAGCACCAUUUUGCACCUCAGCGAGGUCAGUUACUUGGUCACGAUCAUUCUUUCCAUUACUCGCACCAUUCUGAUUCACGUCAACAGCGAUAUCAUCUUCCGUAAUUUUGAUCUGCUUGUUUUUCUUUUUCUUGUUUCUCUUCUUCUUCUUAUCAUCCUCCAUCCUUCCUUGCAGCUCAAAAUCCCUAAUAUUCAAAAUCUCUCAAUUGAAUAAAAAUCAGAUCCAAACAAAUGAGCCUCGUCCUCA